GCAAUCAGCUGCAUAUCACCAUAUUCAAUUCCGUUAUGCACCAUCUUGACAAAAUUACCAGAGCCACCUUUACCAACAAAAGUCACACAGGGACCACUGUCAGGAACUUGAGCUGCCACUUUAAGAAGAAUGUCUUCAAUGUAUUUGUAUGCCUCAAAGGAACCUCCAGGCAUCAAAGAGGGUCCAUGCCGUGCACCCUCUUCACCACCUGAAACUCCCAUUCCGAGAUAAAGCAAACCUAAUUCAGCCAUGGCCUUUUCUCUCCUCUCAGUGUUCUCAUACCACUCAUUCCCACCAUCAAUGAUACAAUCACCUUUCUCCAUGUAGGCAGAGAGGGUCUUUAUAGUUUGGUCAACAGGUGCCCCAGCCUUAACAAGCAUAAUUAUCACCCGAGGCUUUUGGAUUGACUGAACAAAAGAUUCAGGAUCAUGGAAACCAUAUAAAGGAAGAUCUCCCUCCUUUUUGGCUCUUUCAACAGUCUCAUCAACUUUGGAGGUUGUUCGAUUAUAAACAGAAAUUGGGAAGCCUUUCUCUGCAAUAUUGAGGGCCAGAUUCUGGCCCAUAACAGCCAGACCUGCGAGGCCUAUUCGUGUUGGUUUUGAUGGUGCAGCCAUACUUUUCCCUGGGGAAACGAUUCCUGAGAAAAAGAAGAGGACCCAGAAAAAUCAAAGAUCUGGGUUUUGAAGAGAGCAGGUCGUUAGGUGAAAACGAUAACGUGGAACAAAUGAAAGAGCGGCAGAUACAUAAAUUGGUGGAGGUGGAGUUUGCUGACCAUGUGCAAACAGUAAGGACUCGGAAUCUCUC
RNAcentral lists this unclassified non-coding RNA (804 nucleotides) under Hevea brasiliensis (rubber tree). Lineage: Eukaryota; Viridiplantae; Streptophyta; Magnoliopsida; Malpighiales; Euphorbiaceae. The record is from RNAcentral.